CCUACGGGAGGCAGCAGUGGGGGAUAUUGCACAAUGGGGGGAACCCUGAUGCAGCGACGCCGCGUGGGUGAAGGAGCGUUUCGGCGCGUAAAGCCCUAUCGGCAGGGAAGAAGGAGGACGGUACCUGACUAAGAAGCCCCGGCUAACUACGUGCCAGCAGCCGCGGUAAUACGGCGGGGGCAAGCGUUCUCCGGAUUUACUGGGUGUAAAGGGGUCGCAGGCGGGUGAGCAAGCCAGGAGUGAAAGCCCGGGGCCCAACCCCGGGACUGCGCUUGGAACUGCGCGGCUGGAGUGCAGGAGGGGCAGGCGGAAUGCCGGGUGUAGCGGGGAAAUGCGUAGAUAUCAGGAGGAACACCGGUGGCGAAGGCGGCCUGCUGGCCUGCGACUGACGUUGAGGCCCGAAAGCGUGGGGAGCAAACAGGAUUAGAUACCCUAGUAGUC
Molecule: ribosomal RNA, 441 nt
Filed under: uncultured bacterium
Lineage: Bacteria
Description: partial 16S ribosomal RNA
Rfam family: Bacterial small subunit ribosomal RNA
Source: RNAcentral